AGAUUGAAACAUUUAGCUCACUUACCCUGCUUUUCACUGCUACUAGUAUGUUCUCUUCUUCAACUUGCUUAGCUCUCUCCUGAGCUCCAAAGGAUCACUUCUGUGAUUGUUUCAAUCUUGUUUGUUCUUAAAUCUCAUCUCCAGUGGCCGGCAAGUUUGUCUUGGGGAGAGUAUGUGAAGACAAGAGUGGAGAAAUCAUGGUUGGCAGUGGUAGAAUUUGCAGGGGCUCCAGGGGAGCUGUUUUUUUUGUGGGGGUUGUCUGUUUAUUGCUUGUUGGUAUUAUAAACCAUCAGACAAGACAAAUGACUAUGGUUACAGUCGUUGCGUCAGCAGGAAGAUUCGAGGACUGGAAGUCUAUAGGAAAACAGAGGAAACACGGUGUUCUGCAUCACGAUCUUAAUUUUGUGAGCAAGAGAAGAGUACCUAACGGACCUGACCCUAUUCACAACAGGUAUAUUCUCAACAUUACAUGUUUAGAUGAAAGAAAAGCUAUAUUAUGCAUACAUUAUGCAUGGCUUGUGGUUGAUCUUUUCAGUGUUACCUAAAUCACCCACAAGUUCCAACAUCACGAUGUCUUGCUAUAAUUUAGUCAUGAAAAGAAAUAAGAUGAGCGGCUAAAAUUGUCGUGUUCUUCGAUGUCCCAACUCUUUUAGAUUAUUAAACAUCUUCCGUUAAUAUCAAUCUUUUUCUCAACUUAUUAAUUUACAACAUGCCAAGAGAGAUGGGAGAAGGAUUUGAACCUCCUUCAGGAUUUCAAACAGAACGAUAAACACUAGGCUCCUUUAAAUCAAAGCCUCUUUCUUCUAAAAUUUUUCACAUACACACUUCAUCUUUUUUUCAGAAGAGCAGGGAAGUCUACACAACCACCUGAUCGAGCUUGAGGAUCGAGUAAAGUAGGAAUCAUCAGAUCAUUUGUAAAAGAAGGUCUACAUUAAAUAUUGUUCAGCAGAUGUCACUAGUUUGUAAAGUUCUAGACCAUCGAUUUUCAUAUUUAGAAAGGUUAUGUGAACGAAUAACAAGAGGACCUCUCAACCUCUAAAUCGAUCUACCUUAUUGUAAUUGUAAUUGUCUGCUCUAUGCUAUACAAGGCCUGAACAUUACUAUGAAACUGCCAAUGGGGAAGCCGGGAGGAGGGGGUUGACAUCAAAAACUAGAGCUUCUUAACAACAAAUAUAUGCAAACCUAGAGGGGUAGAAGAAUCUUGAGGUCAUCACAUUAGCAUCUACAUGUUCCCAGCCAUUUCCUUUUGGAAGAAAAGAAGACGGAUAUGGAUUUUUGCAUGACAAAGAAAACAGCACUAUCGAUUUUUCACGACCCAAGAAUUGCACUAGCCUACAUGUGUACUGUCAAUUGUGUAGGCAUGAUAUAUGUAAAAAGAUUGUUGUCUUUGCUUUGUGUUGCUUUCUCUUUAUUAAUUUAUGUUUGUGUUUUCCAUAUAAAGAAAUUUAUCUUCCGCUUAAA
This 1461-nucleotide long non-coding RNA is filed under the name Daucus carota (carrot). RNAcentral's name for it is "long non-coding RNA (DCAR_LNC002290)". Lineage: Eukaryota; Viridiplantae; Streptophyta; Magnoliopsida; Apiales; Apiaceae. The record is from RNAcentral.